This is a long non-coding RNA of Rattus norvegicus (Norway rat), 1459 nucleotides long. The record is from Ensembl. NCBI's taxonomy places the organism in Eukaryota, Metazoa, Chordata, Mammalia, Rodentia, Muridae.
CCCCGCUCCCAGGCUCUGGCGCUCGCCGAGGUCUCCGGCUCCACGCGCUUCAGCAGCCAGCGCUGCGGCCCCGAACUUGAUCACUCUAAUGGAGGCUUCCGAGCUGGAAGUCAAGCUGUCCCCGUAACCCCAAGCUGGGCCAGGGGUUCCCAGUCCGUGGAAGUAGCAAGUUUCAUCAUCUCUACGAGGACACAAAGUACAACUGUGGCGGCUCACUUGUCCACCUGACCUUUAGGAGCAAGAGAAAAGAGGCGGGAGUGUCCCUGGAUCCCAGCAACCCCCACUCCGGCGAUGGUGGCACAACGAUGCCUAGGCCUGAAGAGGGCCUCCAGGCCGAGAACUCAGCGAGGCCCGGCGGUCGCCCCAGCCCAGGCCUCUCGAGCCUGCCCAUUUCCCGACCCCAUUCCCGCACCCUUGGCCUUUUCUUUUCUCUUUUCUGCUUCCCGAAGCCACCGUGCUCAGCCGAGCGGACGCACUGCCCCAGCCUGGAGAGGCCCGAGUAAACACGCCACUUACUUUGUGUACAGAGGCUUCUUGUGAAAAGCUCUGAAGAGUCCUCACCAAACACUCUCCAACUUCUCCCACGUGCCAUUUGUUGACUAAGUGCGGCUGCUUUUCCAGGCCAUCGAAAGGAGGGGAAGACAAGAGGGGAGGGGAAGUAGUGGAAGCCUGAGGGUGGGGGUGGGGUUUGACCAAUGCUGGGAGAGAUUCUGCGAGUGUGUGCCCCCGCCGGCUUUCUUGGUGUGUCAACGUGUGUCGUUGUGAGGAACCGGUUAUCUGUGUGUGGUGCUUAUGUAUUCCCGCCAAGACUCCCUUCUCUUGGGUCAGCUCAGUCCACGGAGGCAAUUCCCCUUCAACUGUUGCCAGAAAAACGGCGAGGAAAGCUGCACUGACGAGUCCCCGUGGGAAUUGGAACCAGAUGGACGCUGCAGGCUGCCUCUGAGCCUGAUGUGGUCAUCCUAGUCUAGCCCUUGCCUGGGACCCAGCAAUACAGUACCACCAAGGAGCCUUAGCAGAGUUCCGGGAACAGAAGAGGCCUUCCGUUACCCGAGUCAGAGUGCAAGGAACGGGACGUUUCAGCUGAUGUCUUGUUUUCCUCACUUGGUGUUUCUUCUGCAAUGCCCAGCAACACCCCGCCCGCCUCUGCCGUCUUUCCGGAGCCUGUGUGUACACUAUGAAUUUCAAUAAAUAUAAAUUACUGCCUAAAAGAGCAAAGACUGGUUACCCCAUGGCUCAUUGUUCUUGCUCUACAGACAGUUCAAAAAAAUUAUUUUACAAACUCCAUUGUAGCCAUUUCCCCUCAAUUCCAUGAUGAAAGCGGAUGGCAAAUGCCAUUCAAUCUAGAGGAGCUCAAGCCCAGAGAACAUAGAUUUGUUCAAAGCCUCUGUCAAGUCUAUUUUUAGACUUGGAAACAGAACUAGUCUGGAGGCCACAUCAGCACACAUAUCUGACUGACUCC